This 192-nucleotide microRNA precursor is filed under the name Oryza glumipatula. Its description in RNAcentral is "MIR812 microRNA precursor family". It matches the Rfam family "MIR812 microRNA precursor family". Lineage: Eukaryota; Viridiplantae; Streptophyta; Magnoliopsida; Poales; Poaceae. The record is from Rfam by way of RNAcentral.
GACAACAGAAGAUAAUACUCAUCCCAAAUUCGUUUUAUUUAAUUUUUUUAUGAUUAGUAUUUUUAUUGUUAUUAGAUAAUAAAACAUGAAAAGUACUCUAUGUGUGACUACUUUUUUUUAUUUUUUUCAUAAAUUUUUUAAAUAAGACAGACGAUCAAACGUUAGACACGAAUAUUUACGACUGCACUUAUU